RNAcentral lists this ribosomal RNA (540 nucleotides) under uncultured bacterium. RNAcentral's name for it is "partial 16S ribosomal RNA". It matches the Rfam family "Bacterial small subunit ribosomal RNA", at positions 355 to 888 of the family's 1533-position model. The record is from RNAcentral.
UGGGGAAUUUUGGACAAUGGGCGAAAGCCUGAUCCAGCAAUGCCGCGUGUGUGAAGAAGGCCUUCGGGUUGUAAAGCACUUUUGUCCGGAAAGAAAUCCUUGGCUCUAAUACAGUCGGGGGAUGACGGUACCGGAAGAAUAAGCACCGGCUAACUACGUGCCAGCAGCCGCGGUAAUACGUAGGGUGCAAGCGUUAAUCGGAAUUACUGGGCGUAAAGCGUGCGCAGGCGGUUUGCUAAGACCGAUGUGAAAUCCCGGGCUCAACCUGGGAACUGCAUUGGUGACUGGCAGGCUAGAGUAUGGCAGAGGGGGGUUAGAAUUCCACGUGUAGCAGUGAAAUGCGUAGAGAUGUGGAGGAAUACCGAUGGCGAAGGCAGCCCCCUGGGCCAAUACUGACGCUCAUGCACGAAAGCGUGGGGGAGCAAACAGGAUUAGAUACCCUGGUAGUCCACGCCCUAAACGAUGUCAACUAGUUGUUGGGGAUUCAUUCCUUAGUAACGUAGCUAACGCGUGAAGUUGACCGCCUGGGGAGUACGGUCG